Long non-coding RNA from Acinonyx jubatus (cheetah), 606 nucleotides. RefSeq lists it as uncharacterized. Lineage: Eukaryota; Metazoa; Chordata; Mammalia; Carnivora; Felidae. The transcript is spliced from 2 exons. The record is from RefSeq and is a predicted model, not a curated record.
CCCAGAGGGAGGGCACUCGGGUGGGAGGAAAGUCUGGGGCACAGGUGCGGGGGACACUGGGUGUCUUAUGAGGAGAAGCAGUAAGCCAAAACAUAGAAGGUUCAGAUCAAGUAGGGUCUCAUGAGCCAAGGGAAGGAGUAAGAACUGUUUCGGGGGAACAAUGGGGAGCCAUGGAGGGAAUUUCAGUAAGGUAGCAUGACCAAAUGACAGUUGCCUUUUACUUUUUCAUUUCAUUUUAUUUUAAUGUUUAUUUAUUUUGAGAGAGAGAGAGAGAGAGACAGAGAAUGAGCAGGGGAAGGGCAGAGAGAGAGGGAGACACAGAAUCCGAAGCAGGCUCCAGGCUCUGAGCUGUCAGCACAGAGCCCGACGUGGGGCUCGAACUCACAAACUGUGAGAUCAUGACCUGAGCGAAGUUGGGCGCUCAACCGACUGAGUCACCCAGGUCAUCAUCUCACAGUUCAUGAGUUUGAGCCCCAUGUCCGGCUCUAUGCUGACAGCUCAGAGACAGGAGCCUGCUUCAGGUUCUGUGUCUCUGUGUCUCCCUCUCUCUCUGCUCCUCCCCUGCUCAUGCUCUGUGUCAAAAUUAAAUAAACAUUAAAAAAAAUU